ACUUUGAUUAUGGCUCGGGACGAACGCUGGCGGCGCGCCUAACACAUGCAAGUCGAGCGGGAAGCUUUUUAAGGAUUCUUCGGAUGAAUUAAAAAGUGGAGAGCGGCGGACGGGUGAGUAACGCGUGAGAAACCUGCCCUAUACAGGGGGAUAGCCAUUGGAAACGAUGAUUAAUACCCCAUAUGACCACAGUAUCGCAUGAUACAGCGGUGAAAACUCCGGUGGUAUAGAAUGGUCUCGCGUCUGAUUAGCUAGUUGGUGGGGUAACGGCCUACCAAGGCGACGAUCAGUAGCCGGCCUGAGAGGGUGACCGGCCACACUGGAACUGAGACACGGUCCAGACUCCUACGGGAGGCAGCAGUGGGGAAUAUUGCACAAUGGGCGAAAGCCUGAUGCAGCGACCCCGCGUGAACGAUGAGGGCUUUUCGAGUCGUAAAGUUCUGUUCUUGGGGAAAAAAACCGACGGUCCCCAAGGAGAAAGCCCCGGCUAAAUCCUGGCCACCCGCCGCGGUA
Molecule: ribosomal RNA, 513 nt
Filed under: uncultured bacterium
Lineage: Bacteria
Description: bacterial SSU rRNA
Rfam family: Bacterial small subunit ribosomal RNA
Source: RNAcentral